This 114-nucleotide transfer RNA is filed under the name Arthrobacter sp. ISL-69. RNAcentral's name for it is "tRNA-Thr". Lineage: Bacteria; Bacillati; Actinomycetota; Actinomycetes; Micrococcales; Micrococcaceae. The record is from RNAcentral. RNAcentral also lists the same sequence under 1 other name.
GGGCCUUUACGGCGCGUAUUUCCGGGAUUUUCGGGCUAUUGAGUCCUGGACAUGUCAGGGCCGACGCUGCCUGAUUGUAUCCGUGGGUCGUGGGUUCGAUCCCCACAGGGCCCA